Molecule: long non-coding RNA, 449 nt
Organism: Xiphophorus hellerii (green swordtail)
Lineage: Eukaryota; Metazoa; Chordata; Actinopteri; Cyprinodontiformes; Poeciliidae
Exons: 2
Source: RefSeq, a predicted model, not a curated record
GGAAGGACGCUCUGAUUCACAACUGAGUCCUGAGACGGUCAUGUGAGACACCAAGAGUUACUGAGCUACAGGAGCAGCACAUUUAUCAGUCUGUAGAUGUACAGAAAAGCAUGCGGAUUGUUCUUCUAGCCGAUCUAAACCAAUAGCCCCUGCUCUUCCUGUCGUUUCAGCAUGCUACCAUCUGCCGUACGGGAGAAAACACAGGACAACAACAGGAAAUACGGCGGCCAUCUUGGAGCGGUCGUCCCUUCUUUGCUAAACCAAGACAGCAGAAGAUAUUAGCUGUAUUAAUUGUAAUUUUAAAAGGUCAGACAUUGCAGCAGACAGAGGAAGAAAUCAUCUUUCAACAUAACCCAAAAUGUUCACAUAUUGUACUUCUGGUGGAGCACUUUGCAACAAAAGUUGAUUUAUUUUACACAUAUGCAAGAUAAAACAUUUUUAAAUGUUAA